CCAUUUCCAAUUUUCAAUGCCCAAAGGGCACAUUUAGCCUGGCUUAUUCCUGACAAGGAAAAUGUCCUGGGGCAACUCUUCAUGACUUGCCUUCUCACACUGCACAACCCCCACCAACUCUUCUGCCAACACAACCCUGGAACACAGAGCCAGACAGCAUUCUUUCCUUGCAGAACAUUCUGAAGAGGCUAAGAGAUGUGGAAACAAGGUUUACUAGAAACUGUGCAAGCUGUUUCAUAAUCACAAUGUUGAGAACUGGAAAGGAUGAUCCUUUUUAAAGUUGGGGAACCACUAGCCCAACAUCGCCAUGAGGGGAAAUAGAGGCCGUGUCAGCCCCAACCAUCAAAGGAGACCUUUGUGCACUGGGUUUGCUGUAAAUGACAGAAGCCACUUCAAAAGCCUCUUUGGAGCUGUUCAGUAAAAUGCUCAGGGAACACCUGGGCACACUCAGGCAAGAUAAACCACACAGACACCUCGCAGACAGACCUCCCAGGACAGAGGGACAGCAACAAGACUCCAAAAGCAACUUGAAGUUUUGGCAGCAUGAUCAUCCACAGAGUGAAGUUCAACAUUCAGUCAAGAAGAAUCAUUCUGAUUACUUAAUUGGAAGAUCUGAUACUUCUGAAAUGAAACAUUUCACAAACUCUACUGAAAUAAGAAAUACUUUUGAUUUAUUUUUUAAAAAAUGAAUCAUUGGUUAUGGAAAGAACUAUAUGGUCUUGCAGACAGGACAAAGUUAAAGAUGUUUUGCAAGCUUAACACAACCAAAUCUGAUUUGAGAAUUAUUUUGAGGCUUGCAGCUCUGUUUGUGGCAUAAAUAUAUACAUACAUACAUACGCAGGUAUAUAUGUAUGCAAAAAUGCUUAUUGACUGUGGAAAUGACAGUUUAAGUCACUCUGUAUUUCUUUUUUCCAUGAGUCUAAUAUUGAAUUACGAUGAUUCAAAGGCUCUCAGAGUGUUGUGCUAACAUCGUAAAUGGCUAAACAUCCAAAAAAGAAAACAAUUAAAACACAACGCACACACAAUUUUCUUAAAGUUGUGGAAAAUUAGGUAGGCACAGUUGAUUGUUUUGAGCUGGUAGAAAAACCUGGGCAGCUAGCAGAGGUCUGGACAACCACGGAAAGCCCACAGCAAGGACCACACCGUGAGCAGCCACCAGAGAUUUGGGAUGGUAGACUUACCAAGAGUGUCCACUGGCGGGGGGGCACACGGUGAGAAAGUGCAGGAUACACAAUUGACACAAAAAGGAAAAUAAUAAAGUCAAACUGGUAUUCAAGCAGCAGCAGUCUUACCUUUGUUUCAUGUGUUAAACAGUCCAUGGCUCGCCACCAAAUUUUCUAUUAGGGCUGAUUAAACCCACAUCCACAUUCCCCUUCUCUGCCUUACUAAUAUCUUCCUUCCUUCUCAUCUAAACAAAACCUUCCCAGUUAGUAAUGACCACCCCUAGAG
RNAcentral lists this long non-coding RNA (1449 nucleotides) under Homo sapiens (human). RNAcentral describes it as "HSALNT0143132". The record is from RNAcentral. Lineage: Eukaryota; Metazoa; Chordata; Mammalia; Primates; Hominidae.